Molecule: long non-coding RNA, 3842 nt
Filed under: Homo sapiens (human)
Lineage: Eukaryota; Metazoa; Chordata; Mammalia; Primates; Hominidae
Description: non-protein coding lnc-RPS24-9:1
Source: RNAcentral
UGCUUUGAAUUGCCUCUUCCUCUUUUGCCAUUAUCUAUUGCCUUGCAUCAUUUGUAAGUUUGGCCUGGGAUGUCUUUGCCUCCCAGACAUGCUAGGGACAGGGACCCUGUGCUGUUAUUUUUCUCAUAUCCCUCACAGUGCCUAUGAUGUAUCCAAUGCAGCCACCACUCCCACCGCUGAGACAUCUGUCUUUCUUUCCUUCUUGUCACUCCCAGACCUCAGCAAGUGGCCGCUUUAAAAAGAGAAUAAGAGCUUUAUUGAGGUUUAAUUCACAGACCAUAUAUUCACCCUUGUAAAGUGUGCAAUUCAAUGGGUUUCAAUGUAUUUGCAGAGUGGUGCAACCACCACCACCACCUAAUUUUUAAACAUUUUGAUUUUUAUUUGGUCUCACUCUGUCACCCAGCCUGGAGUGCAGUGAUGUGAUCAUAGCUCGUUGCAUCCUCGAACUCCUAGGCUAAAGUAAUUCUUCCACUUCAGCCUCCCACAUAACUAGGACUACAGGUGCACAAAGUGUUGGGAAAAGAUCAGCUCCUGUGAAAAAAUAAAACACUAUUCACACUUCUACCUGAUUUUUUCUCAUUCUGGUGGAAUUCCCCCCACCACAAAUGAGUUUCUUAAAACCAAACAACAAACCAACCAGCUCACCCCCACCCACCCCAUCACAACACAUUUAUUUAGUGCCUACUUGUUGUUGGUUACUUACAAUGAAAGAAAGGCAGGCAGAUGGAUAACCUAGUUCAAUAUUUUACGUGAGAUGCAUUAUUUUACUAAGUCCUUUCCAAACCAUACCCAUCAGAUCCUAUCUCCAUGGGAGUGGAGAAAUUUGAGCAACAGAGAGGUUAGGAAAUUUUCCUGAGGUCACAGGGUUAGGCAGUAGCAGAGCCGGAAUUUAAACCCCAGUCUUCUGUCUCCAAAUGACCUGCUUGGCUAAUGCUAGAUUGGCCUUGAAAGGUUAUAUUUUUAUUUGGUUGAGGAGACUCUUUCAGUUCCAGGCGACCAAAACAAACAAUUCUUUAUGCCAUGGCUGGGCUGAAAAUUCCUCAGUGAAGGGCAGUGGCUCUGGGAAUAUUUUACACAUCUCUUCUCAUCUUCAAAGGCAGCUGAGCCGUGGUGUCCUGGGUUCUGUGGUGGCCUCAUCUGCAGACUCCCACAAGAAUUUGGGGAAAUCUUUGCAGGCAUGUGGGGGUUGGCCCCUUGGGAAGAACAUUCAGACAGUGUGGAGUCAUAGCUGGUACCCAGGGCCCAGAAGAUGCCCCACUGCUCCUUCGGGAUGCCCCACGGGAAGUGCCGUUCCAUUGUUGUGGGCGGAAUUUUGUGGAACACAACCCCUUGGAGCCAGCUCAGGCACGAGGGUUGCAUGUGGGGGGGCCCGGGCAGGGCAUGGUUAUUGGAGUGGGACAGGGAUGGAUCUCUAGAUGGAAAGUGAGGCCAGCGGCUGGUGGGAACUGGAUCUUGGAAGCCCCAGAGAGGGAGCAGCUGCUCUCUCUUGGGCUGCGUGGCUUAGCUCUUUGCCUAUUUCUGAGCCUCUGCCCCAUUUUCCAAUUUGAGCCAGGCUUCCCCUGCUUGCUUUGACUUCUCUGCUCUGUGUGCCCCCUCCAGCUUCAGUUUGCAGGUAGCUUGGUUUUCUAGAGGGCCUCUUGUGGCUGUGACCACACACAACCCUAAAUGCCAUCACCAUCUUACCUACAUUAUGUUUUUUCUUUCUACAUUUUGUAAUUUUAAACUAGAUGAAGAAUUCCAUAAAACAUGCAAAAAAAGCAAGGAUGUGCCCAGUGCUGAAAGCCUGGGCCUGGAGUGAGAGUGUGGAGGCAGGAGGUAGCAGUGGCUCCCGGGUUAGCGCUGAGGAGCUGCAUUUAGGUUAAUGGGGACUGGGCCAGGGCAGGGGUGGGCCUAAUGGUGACAUUGGCAGUUGUCUGGAGCAGCCCUGGGAACCUAGCUCUGUGGAAGGCAGGGCAGGGGUGGUGUCCCCAGGGGAAGGGUGGUAUCAACCCACAGACACACUCAAGGCUCAGAAUCAUUGGAAGGGGGUGGGUGGAUGCUGGUCAGUGGGUGCCCAGGCUGGACAAGUGAGUGCCCCUCCAGACACAGGCAUUGGGAGACUCAGCAUGUGUUCCCCUCCCCAUCACAGAGCAAGGCAAUGUUUAAAAACUAGAAUAGAUGCCUAGGAAGCGGGUACUGUGGCCAUUCCAGGCACCUAGAACAAGGGCAGGCUUCAAACAGGGAGCCCUGUGGUAACCCCUCCCAUCUCUGGAGCUGAGGGAGGGGACAGGGGAAGCCAAGAACAGAGACAGGAAAAGGGGAAAAGUGGCCAGGGGGACAGACAGAAGGAGGAUGGUCUUCUUGACCCCAUCACCCUCAGGGCUGGGGGCACAGAGUUGGCCCAUCCUGCCAGCCUCACCACCCCUCAGAAGAGGCCACAGUUCUUCUGGCUAUGAUUUUUUAUUUUGAGACAGGGUCUUGCUCUGUCAUCCAGGCUGGAGUGCAGUGGUGUGAUCAUAGCUCGCUGCAGCCUCUAACUCCUGGGCUCAAGCGAUCCUCCUGCCUCAGGAUCCUAGUCCCGAGUAGCUGGGACUACAGGUGCAUGCCACUGUGCCUGGCUUUUUUUUCUUUUUUGGUAGAGAUGGGGUUGCACUCUGUUGUCCAGGCUAAUUUUGAACUCCUGGCUUCAAGAUAUCCUCCUGCCUCGGCCUCUCACAGUGUUGGAAUAAUAGGCAUAAGCCACCACACCCAGCCCUUCUGGCUGUUCUUGAUGGUGAUGUCAGUCGUGCUCUGCACAUUCUGUUUUUCAUGUCGGUGACAGCAUAGGUGACUUGUGCAUGGAUCUCCCUGGUGUUCUUGCGCUAUUCAGGCCCUCUCACUUACUCUGAUGUAGCUGGCAGCCUCGUCAGACUUGCUGACCCCUGUGUACUUGUGGAAGCAGAUGGUGGGGGCUGCGUGUGAUCUUCUCCUCACCUAGGUCCUUCUUCUUGAUGAAGAGGAUGACAGACGUUUCCAUGACCACUUGACAUAGAUGCUGCCAAACAGCUUCAUGUUCUGGUGUGUGUGAUUCAGCUUGUCCUCAGCUCAGGCCACAGAUGCUCAAGCCUGCACAGAAGAUGGUGGCUGUGAUGCCCUCAAAGCAGUGGGUCCACUGCUGCCCAGACUGCUGACUGCCACAUCAGCCAUCUUGAAGAGAGUAGGUCCCUGGAGGUGAAGGGCGUCUUUAAGCAGCUCUGCAGCUCCACCUUCUGUGUGGGGGCAUGGUCACUCUGUGUCCUGUGGCUCCAGGUCGUUCAGGUGGAAGGCGGCUAAACUGUGGAGCUGGUGUCCUGUGGGUAACCAAAGCAGGAUGAAACAGGCAUCCCAUGGAGCAAAUCCAAUGGGCAGCCCAGAGAUUCCGGAUGACGCUGGACAGCUUCAGUUUGCAGGUGGCAUCUGGACAGGUCCUCAGGGAGUGCACCCUGGCCCACAACUGUGUAAGACAUUGCAAACUGUUGCCUGGCAUCAUCCGUAUGGAAGGGGUUGGCAAAGUCAGUCUGUAGGUUGCCUGUGGCCUUGACGAUGGCCAUGAUGGCCUGGAGGGUGUGGCUGUAGAUGACUGCCCUGCACAGCCAACCUUCCUCCUCUGAGUAACCAUCCUCUUGGAUGAUCUGCUUUGAGGUCCUUAGGGCAGGUAUCUAUCUCUAGUCUAAUCAAGGGAGAGCGUGUGGUACAACCAUGGCUUCCUACUUCCUAGAGCUGCACCUAAGACAAAGAUGCUUUAACACAUCUGCCUGGACCAGGGGCUAGCUGAGGACAUUUGCUUCACUCCAGACCAUCAGCGGGAGGGCAGAACCUGGAGCAUGGCUUCCCGGGCUCAGUGU